GUCCUUUCUGUUCUGUUCUGAUGUUGCUCGAUCAGCUCCUGCAACAGCCAUUUUCUGUAUUUGUUGAUGUUGAGCUAGUUACAAACUGAGCUGCUUUGUUUAUUUACCGAGCAGUGGUAGAGACGUUUCAAGUUCCUGUUAUUGGUUACCCCACUGCUCCUUUACUCUGAUUUAAACCAGAGGAAUGUGACCAGAAUGUAAUAAAAACAAAGCCUGCUAAGGCACUUGAGAGAUUUCAUGCUUAAAAAACAAACUGUCUUUACAGGUUCUUAUUGGUGCCCCUUUGCUGUAAUGGGGGAAGUUUGACAACAGAAACUCACAGGUGUUGAUGUCAAGAAUAGAAACGAGGGCCAUUGCUCCUAUCCAGCAGUAAGUAUGUUGGAAGAACAGACUAAGGAAGGAGCUAAUGAUACUCCUGGCCCAAAAGAAGAUCAAGUCCUUUUUCAGCGAAUAAUUUGACCUGAAUUAAAUCCUUCGCUGUUAUAACGUGGUCACAAAAAACAUGCCAAGGACAGCCAAGAACAGGAGAAUCAUUUCCAGAAAGGCUUCCUUAUGCACAGCUUUUACCUGUGGCUUCAUGUGAAGAGCUCGAAGGGUAAGAAGUGUUCCCCUACAGGUGAGUCGGGUGGCACCUCAACAGGUGAAACAUCACGCUCAAGGUCAGUAAAUGAGCCUGUGGCAAAACUAGAAGAGAAGCAGUAGAGGUGAAUGUAAUAGGGAUGCAGCCAGCUGCCUUGCUGCAGCUGUGCUCGGGGAACAUUGAUCAUAUUUUGUUGAUGCAAGUGAACUUCUCCAGACAGGGAAUAGCACAUAAAACCAAACCAUUUAUCAGCUGUUAAGAGAAAUGAGCUGUAAAAUGUUAGGCUGUCACAACUGUAAUGCAGGCAGCAAUUAGUUAGCUUUGAAGGGGGGAUGUUUCUCCUCACUAUCCUUCUUGUGUGUUCCUAUAAAGCUUUGGUCCUAUGGAAAGCUAUUUCCAAGACUCUUACCUUGGAGAGUGUGUAUUCUGAUAAUAGAGCAUUUCAGUCUGGAAGCACUCCCACCACCUUAUUAAAAAGUAUAAUGCAAGGAUAUUUCCAUCCUGACAUGUUUCUGGAUGCAGAAACAUCUCUUAGCUAAACCCCUAGAGGCCUGGAAUGAGACAUGUAUGGUCUCACUACCUGCAGCAAAACUUCUGUGCCAUUGAAUGCAACAACAAAACUCUGGCUAUAAGUAAAAUAAAAACCGUUCUGUUCAGAAACUUUUAGAGAAAGGCAAAUCCAAAAGCCCAGUCUGUGGGGAGAUGAGUAUAAAUCUGUCCUUGUUCCAGCUGUCAAUCUAUUCACACUGAGUUGCACAGUAACAGCGAGGGUGGAGUAAAAACAGCAGCAGUGUACCUCAGAAACUGCUGAUUCCCAUCUUUAGCUAGUGGCACUCAAAGUGAUGACAAAACAGAAUCACAGCACCAUAAAUUCCUAAGAUCAGCCAGGUUUGGAAAUACCUUCAAGGUCACCAGAUCUUACCACCAACAUGGCUUACUGAGUUCCAACACUGAGCCCUGUCCACUAGUGCCAUGUGUCCUGAAGGCCUCUAGGAAUGAGGACUCCACCACUUCCCAGGGCAGCCCAUUUCCAUGUUCGACCAUCCCCCUCUAUGAAGAAAUUCCUCCUGUUAUCCAAUCUAAACCUCCCUUUGGUGCAAGCUGAGACCAUUUCUCCACAUCCUAUCAUUUGUCACCUGUCUUAACGAGAUGGGUAAAUUGAAGAAGGAGAGGGAUUUUUUAGUCUGGAGGGGAGGAGCUCAGGAGAGACGUUAUAGCUCUCUAUAAAUGCCUGAAAGGAGGUGAAAUGAUUCUAUGAUUGGUGUUUAUCAUGUAUCUCAGCUACUAAAAACAACUGCCAUUCUUCUCCCAUUCCGUCCCUUGUUCUUGCCAGUGUUUUACUCACUGAAGCAGCAGCAGUACCAAAGCUGCAAGGAAAUAUUUAAACACUAAUUAACUUUUUAAUUCUGUGUGUGGGCAGGCACUUUCUAUCCCCUGGAGCACAACUGAUUUUCGAGGUAUUUAUUUGGGCUUGCAGGGUGUUUGCACACUGUGUGCGCUCCCUGUGUAUGUGUUGGUAUGUGUGUGGGAUGCUGCCGGCUGUAUCUGCCCGCAGCUGAGCCUGUGUGACAUUCCCCUUAGAGCAAGCGAGUUUUCCAAUACAAAUGUGAAAAACCCAACCCUUUCCUCUGCUUUAUUUCAGCUGCUGGAUGAAAGCAGAUCACACUGCUUCCCCAGCAAGCCAUCUGUGUGACAGUACCCCAACCAACACGCGCCAGUCCCUCGGGCUGCAGUGAGCUGGUGGUGAUCAUCUGGCACAAACUCACCCCGAAGCAAUCACCCCAUGAGGUUUUCCUCUUCGAUUUUUCCAGUGAACUGCAAUCUGUGUGGUACUGCUGCAGCUAAUCUCAUUUUCCCUGGGAGGUGGUUCGGCGUGCGGCUACACUUUGAGUUAGUGGUUAUUAAAGCUGCGUGCCUUUCCAUACUUCCUUCUGCUCAGCUUCCUCUUCCACAAGAGAAGAGUGAUAUUGCCGUGAUGGAGGGCAAUAUUGAGGCUCUAGACUGCAAACGUGUAUAAAAUGGGCUCAGGCUGUGUGUUUCUCUGCAUGUUUCACAGCAUUGAUCUUGCUGGAGAGCCAUUUGGACGGAGCUCCCAGACAUAUAGAACCACUGAAUCAUAGAAUCGCUUGAGUUGGAAGGGACACUUAAAGACCAUCAAGUCCAGCCCCCCUGCA
Non-coding RNA from Coturnix japonica (Japanese quail), 2754 nucleotides. The record is from RefSeq and is a predicted model, not a curated record. Lineage: Eukaryota; Metazoa; Chordata; Aves; Galliformes; Phasianidae.